CAGAUUAGCUUAAAUUUCUGAGUUCUCAGACCAUUUUCAAUUGAGAAUGACUUCCGGAUUGGAGCCGAAACUUCCGGAUUGGAGCCGAAACGUCUUGAUUCUGAAAACAGUGUCCAGAUGACUACGACUGAAACCCUUUCUACGAUGGAACACUCCUAGAUGAAUGAUCUGGUCACUUAAACGUAUCAUGCUUUGUCAAACUAUGUUUAUUUGUCUAGUUUAAAAGAUUGGAUUUAAACAAGUCUGAAAGUCUGAUGUGAUAGUGAUUCUGCCCUCAUGUCAGGAUAUGGUAAAAAAAGUACCGCAAGUUGAUUAAUUGCAUGAAGAUGCCAGUUCCUGGGUCUCAAUUCUUUUAAUUAGUAUCUUGCUGGUUUACAAUUUAACCCCACCACUACCCAAUUUUCCACAUGUGAGAAUUCUAGCGGUAUCACUAUACAUUAUAAUUAAACUGGUCUGUUGUUAUGACUGAUUUUGCUUUGAUCUGUUUAACUCAGUCGAGAUGAAGACUGGUGUAAGCUGGCCAACAGACAGUAAAUCUGCUUUCUUGAGCUAGAAAGAUCUGUGGGAGACUACAUAUGAACAUGAGGGAAGUGUGGCUGGAAGAUGACACUUCUUAAAUAACACUUUCUAAAAUGUAUUGUAAGCUUUCUAGGGUGGAUUCUGUGAUGCUGACUGACUAUUCUGUGGUGUCCUCUGUUUUACAGCGCUUCCAAAACUUAUUUAUUUUAUUUUUUUGUGGAUGUGACAACCAGAAUGAUGGGUCCUGGAAUGUGUGCUACCUGUGAUUUCUUAUGUUGCUCAUGAAACUCCAUUUGGAAAUGUCUGCUGUUAAUUGUUGUUUGUUAGUUUACCACAGGGUGGCAUCUCUUCAGUACAUGAGCACCAGGUAUGACAUGGGGCGGCUCAUUUUCCAGGAGAGCCCGGUUCAGGACGCACUCUAAAAAUUGCAACCAUACAGUACAGUCAUCUGUUCAGCGACAUGAAGAGAGAGUCCAUGGAUUUCAGCUUCUUCUCUGAUUGACAUUUGUCAACGAAACCAUGGAGAAAACAAAUAAAUACACAUUGUAAAAGAAAGAAAAAAAGACAUUAUAGUGUUUACUAAAAUGAGGACAAAAAUUCACGGGAAUUGUUUCACUCUCUCUGUAACACAUAAAACAUGUAACACAUGUUCUCCUUACAUAUUACUUCUUGUCUGAUGCGUACAAAUCUAUUUUGUUAUACUUUUUUGCCGGAAUGUUGGUCAGUAAAUUUUGGUAAUCACUUAGCAAACUAAUAGGUCUAUACCCUUCACGGGAUGUUGGGUCCUUACCCUCUUU
Long non-coding RNA from Siniperca chuatsi (mandarin fish), 1316 nucleotides. RefSeq lists it as uncharacterized. Lineage: Eukaryota; Metazoa; Chordata; Actinopteri; Centrarchiformes; Sinipercidae. The transcript has 3 exons. The record is from RefSeq and is a predicted model, not a curated record.